UCCGAGUUCGGCACUGAAAAUAGACCCAACCCACCUAGGCGCCCGCCUAGCCACCGCCUAGCGACCGCCUGCCUAGCCACCGCCUAGCGACCGCCUAGCCGCCUAGCGCCCGCCUAGUCGCCUAGCGCCCGCCUAGCCAUCGCCUAGCCGCCUAGCGACCGCCUAGCCGCCUACCGCCCGCCUAGCCGCCCGCCUAGGCCGACUUUUCAGUUCUCGCUCUCCAGCAUCCAAACGCAUUCUCUCUCUCCCCUUGUCGUCAAGGUCUGUUGCCUCUGUUCAUUCAUUGUAAAUUUUAGUAUUCAAUAGUUCAUAGCUUUUUCAAUUUUUCAAUUUUGAAUUUUGAUUGAAACGCUAGACAAUGUAGGGGUUUUAAUUUGUUUAAACAUGCUCUUGAAAAUUGUUGUACGAGGGCACCUGUCAAUUGUCGUAAAUCAGUAGAAAAUGUGCUCUUGAAUUUUGUUAAGAUUAUAUUGAGAGCCUAAUGUUGGAUUUUGAGAUUGCAGUUUAGGAGAGCAUUACGUGAUUUUUCAUGUAGGGAAGGGAAGUAGCAUAAUGACUUUAGGUUUUCGUGUUAUGGCACAACACCUGAAGUUCUUGAAAGGCUUUAUAAGCUCAUACAGAGUCUAGCUAAUCUAGUGCAACAGUAUUUUAGGCUGGAUGGGACACCAGGCAGUUUUUAUGAGUACAUAUGAUAAUGAUAAGCCUCAAGGAAAGGUUUCAUCGGAAAUACUUCACAAGGGGAGUCUGGGACCACAAGGAAUUGAAGUUCAUGAAGUUGGUACAGUUGGUAUAGAGGAGCUACGAAAUGCAUAAAUAAUUAUCUAGGUUUGAUGAGUGCAUUUUACUCCUUACUUGUGGCCUGUCAGCUCUGUACAAAAUUUGCGCGGAGUCUAAGAUGAAGCAUCAUUAUAAAAGUCUCAACUCUGAAGUUGACUUCUUAUUUUGAGUUUGUGGACAGAGCACAGAUAAUAGAAAUGCACUGUGGGGGACGGUCAUAGUAUUUGUGAACAGAAAAUAGCGAUCUAAAUUCCAACUACCAAGUGAUGAGAAGAAAAUCUGGGAACUUAAAGAGGUGAAGACCAAGAGUGAUUGACAGUGGAUCAUUAUCUAGAGAUCUAUUUGAUUUCGCCUACAUUGCAGGCAGAAAAUAAAAAGGCCAAUCGUAAUGGGAGAACCAUGCAUGCCUCAAGCCUGGCCAGGUGUCUCACAUAAUGAGUGAUUGUCCUUUCCUUAGGGAUGUUGAUAACUAAGCCUCAUCAUCGUACAUGCCCUUAUUUAUCUUUAACUAGUCUUCCUUCGGUUAUAGGCACAUUUGGUGGUCUUUGUUGUCCAUGUUCCUAUCACAUUAACUUCUGUUAACUUAUCACUGACAGGGUUCACUCCCAGUGUUUUUCUAUUGUAUUGAUUUUUAAUUGUCCUUUUGAAGUCAACCCUACCAUCCAUGUUAAUAUUUUCAUUCCCGCAACAUGGUUGUGUUGCUCUUAUGUGUGUCUAACACUUUGCCCCAUAAAACUAGCUACUAAAAGAAUUGAGAAUUUAUGAUAUCAGUCAGAGAGAUUAUAGAGUCUCCAAAUCAGUUUUAACAGAUGCCCUCCUUACCAGCUCUAAAACUGCAUGAGUUCUCAUAGAUGACAUUAAUAGCCACUCCGAUAGGACAACUGAAACUUGGGCUAUUGAUUUUCUCUUGCUAUACUUGCAAGAUGAUCUAUAAUAACAAUCACAGAAUCUGUGUAGAAAUCCUUUGCUGUAAGAGUUGAUGACAGGAAGCUUUUGAUAGAUUUGAUCCUCUUGGAUAUCCAAGACUUUACCGCGCAUGGAUUAAUCUUUUGCCCAUCAUGUAACUUGACUGUUUUAUGGAGUUCCUGUACUUCAAGAGAAGCUGAAUUUUGAUUUAAGGGGAAGUUUAGGUGGGGUUUUAUGGGGUAAAUGACAUUUAUGGUGGUUUAAGUUAAUAAGGAGAUAAAUUUUAAAGUUUUUUUGAGAAUCCCCUGAUGCAGUUUGUAGGUUCUUCCUAUGAAAAAUUCCUAUAACCUCAGAAGGGAUAAGAUCAGACCAUCAGACAAAUCGUAUCUAUCAAAAUUAUUUUAGCUUGAUACUCGAGCAAGGGCCUUUUAACACUUUGACACGUUCAGUGCACUUUGACACAAGUACUUUUCAGUCACUAUUUCAGAGUGUUGCACGAAAUGCUGCAAACACUAGCUGUGGCAUUCCUUUGUGUCAGUACUCGCCCGAUAAUGAAAGAUGUCGUAGCAAUGCUUACAGAAAUUCGACAUGUUGAGACUGCAAGGGGAGAACCAGAAUUGUUAAAGGGAGGAGGGUUGCAAUCAAUUUUGGCAUCCCCCUGCUAGGAAAGCAGUUCCACAAGGCUCUUCUAACUGCUCUUUCGCUUUCUCUGAAGAUUCAAUGUAAUGAUAAGUUAUGAACUUUCAUCCACUGUGCAUAUUAUCUUGGGAGAAUCAAAAUCCCAUAGAACAAGGAAGAAUAUAGAGG
RNAcentral lists this long non-coding RNA (2490 nucleotides) under Prunus persica (peach). RNAcentral's name for it is "long non-coding RNA (PPER_LNC005611)". Lineage: Eukaryota; Viridiplantae; Streptophyta; Magnoliopsida; Rosales; Rosaceae. The record is from RNAcentral.